RNAcentral lists this ribosomal RNA (122 nucleotides) under Apis mellifera (honey bee). The record is from RNAcentral. Lineage: Eukaryota; Metazoa; Arthropoda; Insecta; Hymenoptera; Apidae.
GCCAACGACCAUACCACGUAGGAACUACUGGUUCUCGUUCGAUCACCAAAGUCAAGCUACGUCGGGCACGGUUAGUAGUACUUGGAUGGGUGACCGCUUGGGAACACCGUGUGUUGUUGGUU